This 465-nucleotide ribosomal RNA is filed under the name uncultured bacterium. RNAcentral's name for it is "partial 16S ribosomal RNA". It matches the Rfam family "Bacterial small subunit ribosomal RNA", at positions 338 to 795 of the family's 1533-position model. The record is from RNAcentral.
CCUACGGGAGGCAGCAGUGGGGAAUUUUGCGCAAUGCUCGUAAGAGUGACGCAGCGACGCCGCGUGAAUGACGAAGGCCUUCGGGUCGUAAAGUUCUUUCGACAGGGAAGAAAAUGCCUAUAAGUAACUGUGUAUGUAUUGACGGUACCUGUAUAAGCAGCCCCGGCUAACUCCGUGCCAGCAGCCGCGGUAAUACGGAGGGGGCGAGCGUUGUUCGGAGUGACUGGGCGUAAAGAGCACGUAGGCGGUGUUGUAAGUCAUUAGUCAAAGACUAGCGCUCAACUUUAGUAAGGCUAGUGAUACUAUAAUACGAGAGUAUCAGAGAGGAUUGCAGAAUUCCUGGUGUAGCGGUGAAAUGCGUAGAGAUCAGGAGGAAUACCGUUAGCGAAGGCGGCAAUCUGGCUGGAAACUGACGCUGAGGUGCGAAAGCGUGGGUAGCAAACAGGAUUAGAUACCCCUGUAGUC